Molecule: long non-coding RNA, 273 nt
Filed under: Elaeis guineensis (African oil palm)
Lineage: Eukaryota; Viridiplantae; Streptophyta; Magnoliopsida; Arecales; Arecaceae
Description: long non-coding RNA (EGUI_LNC040829)
Source: RNAcentral
CCUACUUCCAAGUUCAGAUUUCGAAUGAAGGAAGUAUAGAGAAAUUUUCACAGCCAAAGUUGCCCCCUUUGAUUUUCGUACUCGAUUGUUUCCAGAUAUUUUGGCGUUUGGUGUGUCGGUGCUGGAGUUUUUUCAAAUCGAGGUGAUCUGAAAAGAUUUUUUCAGAAUCUCUGCUGGAGCGUUGCCCCAGGUAUGGCACAAUAAUGAUUCUGUCAGUCGUCAGCCAUCUGUCACGACGAGUGGGACACGCGACGGUUGUAGGUCGGCCGAAGG